RNAcentral lists this ribosomal RNA (335 nucleotides) under uncultured bacterium. RNAcentral's name for it is "bacterial SSU rRNA". It matches the Rfam family "Bacterial small subunit ribosomal RNA", at positions 18 to 344 of the family's 1533-position model. The record is from RNAcentral.
CAUGGCUCAGGAUGAACGCUAGCUACAGGCUUAACACAUGCAAGUCGAGGGGAAACGAUGAGAGAGCUUGCUCUCUUAGGCGUCGACCGGCGCACGGGUGAGUAACGCGUAUCCAACCUACCCAUUACAGGGGAAUAACCUUGCGAAAGUAAGACUAAUGCCCCAUGGUAUUCUCAGCAGACAUCUAAUGAGGAUUAAAGAUUUAUCGGUAAUGGAUGGGGAUGCGUCUGAUUAGCUUGUUGGCGGGGUAACGGCCCACCAAGGCAACGAUCAGUAGGGGUUCUGAGAGGAAGGUCCCCCACAUUGGAACUGAGACACGGUCCAAACUCCUACGG